Molecule: long non-coding RNA, 946 nt
Organism: Aedes aegypti (yellow fever mosquito)
Lineage: Eukaryota; Metazoa; Arthropoda; Insecta; Diptera; Culicidae
Exons: 2
Source: RefSeq, a predicted model, not a curated record
AAAAAAAAUUGACAUAUUAAUGUCUUAAGUAAACAAUUUUAUUUUGAACUUGGUCAGAAAAGCCAAUAUGAUAUAACGGACAAAUCGAACAUAGCUUAGACAAGAAAGGCCAUUGGUGCCGACAACAAUUCGAGCACAGAGGACAAAUUCACCUCAGUUGUUCAUGAUACUACGAAUAGUCAUCAACAUAGACAAAAAUGGGACACUAGGAUAUAUCAAGUCACAAAGGAAAUUAGAUGCCGAUUACCAUUGAGAUCAAAGAUUCAGAAAUGAAGCUAGAAAAAAGACGAAAGGAGUCGACAGAAAUGGAUGGUGGACACAACAGUGGGCACAACGAAGGAUGACCCAGCGGUUAGAGAUAUAGGAACACUAAUUCUUUAUAAUGUACAUAGCGAAGGAAUCAGUUAACGUUGUAAAUGUUAGAACCAAAAAUAGGUUGAGUAGGGAUUUUACAUGUACCAACAAUAAUUAUUCUAGCAAGCCAAAUAUGCCUUCUCCGUGUUUUUAAUUCAAAAGGAUUUAAUUAAAAACUCGAAUGGUUGGGGCGUAUGUACCAGCCUAGCAUCAUGAUACGGUACUUUCUACGUAUCCGGGAAAUGAUGGUUUUCUUGCACAUAGCCUGACGAAGCAAAGUAACGGGUGCUUCCUCGUUGCAGUGGUUUGUUGCGUAACUGCAAAACCAGAAGUCAAUUUGGUUUUGUUUGUUUUACCUUGGCCAGGAAUCCGACAGUGCCAAAUUUAAAGUGACAUAAUUUUACCGCUAUGGAGUAAAGCAAACAAACGUGCGCGAGAACUUUUUACUUACGCAGCUUUCCGGUUUGCUUAGCCCUAUAGGCGGCGGGUAAUCGUAUUGUUUUGCUUAAGUUUUUCAUUUCAGCCACACCACAAACCGCGAAGAACGGUGACUCACAUGCGGAUUUUGUUACGCUCAUCGCUCACGGAUCGU